This 253-nucleotide ribosomal RNA is filed under the name uncultured bacterium. RNAcentral's name for it is "partial 16S ribosomal RNA". It matches the Rfam family "Bacterial small subunit ribosomal RNA", at positions 524 to 776 of the family's 1533-position model. The record is from RNAcentral.
GACGAAGGAUGCAAGCGUUAUCCGGAUUCAUUGGGUUUAAAGGGUGCGUAGGCGGACUGAUAAGUCAGUGGUGAAAUCUCUUCGCUUAACGAAGAAACUGCCAUUGAUACUGUUAGUCUAGAGUACAGAUGAUGUGGGCGGAAUAUGACAUGUAGUGGUGAAAUACUUAGAUAUGUCAUAGAACACCGAUUGCGAAGGCAGCUCACAAAACUGUAACUGACGCUGAGGCACGAAAGUGCGGGGAUCAAACAGG